CUUCUUUCAUACGAACUUAUAUUUCUCUCUCUACUAUAGAGAAAAAGGCGAAACAAAACCCUUGGCAAAUUCAAUCGACGAUUAUAGCUCCGUGUCUUCAUCCUGUUGCAAUUUUGCAGUGGCUUUUGUACGUGUUGCUGUCAUUUGCUAAUUUGCAACGGCGUUUGUACAUUUUUCUACAUGUUCUGGUAUUUAUACACUCGAAUCAUGAAGAAUUUCAAGACAUUUUUUUCCCCUUCAACUUUAUUGCAUCGUUUCAAACAUUCCUAAAGCAGCCGAGAUUACUGUUCCUGGGUCGAGUUUCUUAUGAUUCGGGUUCUCAGGUCGUGGAAUUUAAUAUUUUUGGUGUAGUGAUUCUUCUUCUUCUACUAGAGUCUAUGGAUUUCUAUUUUAUAGUUUUCAAAUUAGAAGGCUUUGUUUGUCUAGGUAAAAAUGAGGGUGUUUUGGUGACAGAUUUUUAAGAUUAUUCCUAUUCAUGUUGUUGUCCGUUUAAGUCACCCUUAGUUUCUGGUUCAAAGUUUAUGGGCCUGUAGUAAUAAAGGUAGCGAUAUUGAUUAUGUAGUUGAUUUUGUUGUUCAAAAUUUGAGCGAACAAAAUUUUUCCAAUUUGGACAACCAACAUCUAUGUAAUCUUCACUUACAUAAAAACAACCUCUGCAUCUAAUAAAAGAUUUCACAAGAAUUUUUUCCCUAAAAAAAGAUAUAUCAAAUAAAUCAUUUUGAUAUACCAAAUAAUUAUUUUUCGAUCUUACAACAUGAGGUCCCUUGUCAUGUGAGCUGGUUCCCAAAAUAGUAUUUAUUUUGAUUUCAUGUGAUUUGAGUACAUUUUCUUAAUUAUUAAUAACGUACAAUAACUUGUUUAUUUUUAGUCGAGUUUGAAUUCCCUUUUAAUCAUAAUUUUAUUUUGGCACGGCUUUAAUUUAAUAGUAUGUAAAGCUAUGCCUCGAUAAUGAGAGGUGGAACCAUGAAGCUUUGUUAUUAGUCCGACCUGUUUGUAGACUUGCUUCAAGAUGGAUUGAAUCAAGACAAACUACAUAAAACAUAAUCUCAAUUGAAGAAAGAAAUAUAAAGAAAAGAGGGUCACAAAUUGAGUACAUGGCACGUGGUGAACUUCAUUCAAAUGUUCCAAUGCUGUGAAUAUAUUUUUAAUGGGUGGAUAAUAAGCAGUUAGUAAUUAUAGAAUAAAAUGUAUGAAUAAAAAAAUAUAUUUGGUUAAUUUAAAUUAUAAUUUAAGUUUUCUCAAAUAUAAAUUCAUGUAUCUUUAUCUUUGGAAAUUCAAGUGGAUGUUAGUUUAACUCGGUGAAUGUGCAUGCAAGAAAAUAGUAAUUUUUGCUUGAUUUGAUUCAUUCAAAAUGGAGAAGUAAGAAUGAUAUUUGAAGAAUAUGCAUAGGCUAAUCUACAGCUUGAACUUAGAUAAGAAAGAGAUGAGGAAGAUUGCUUAACUAAUAUGUAGAAAGGUAGGCAGAGGAUCAUCUUCGACUGAGGGAUUGUUCUAAUCCUUUGAGAAAAAUGAUGAAUUCUAUUGAUACAAAUGGGAGAUAACAAAUAAAUCAUUUCGUAAGUAACAAGCUACCAACAAAUUCACUGUAAACACAAACAUAGAUUAUUUGUAAAGAUUUCAUCAACUUAGUUGAAUGAAAAUGUACUGAGAAAUAGAUGUAUGGUCCUUAUUCAAGCAUGUUUGUAUUCAAGCUAGAAAUAGCCAUCAAAUAUGGAAAAAAACACUCACUUCAUUAAUUUAAAAUUGCAUGCAGGACAUAAAUGUGCAUUAUUUUGAUAGAUGGCGUGUUCAAUAGGAUCUGGAAUUCAGUCCUACACUAGGGAACUAAGAAGUUGUAAUGUGCAGUAGAUUGUGGAAUUUUAGGCUAAUGAAAGAUGGAUAAAUAAAUUUUUUUUUAACUGGUUAUAUGUUGGCCAGAUUUCCUUUUAUACGUGUAUAAAGUGUCACCUCCUAGUCCAUAGAUGCAGAAUGCUCUUUACUUAGUUUGUGCAUAUACACAUUGUUAAUUAGAAUUGUGGAGAAGUGUCAAAUAAUAUCCCUUGGUGAACAUGGGUGUUCAUUUUCUUCUUCGGAUUUUCAAAUUCAUUCUGUAAAUCACUUAGGAUUCCUCUUUCUAAGUUUCACGCUGACUUGAUGAUAAUGAAUUCAAGUAUCUGGUGAUUGGAAGUCGAUAAGAAAGCCUUAUUUCAUACCUUCGAAUAUGCAAGUUUUUAUUUGGAUAUGAUGAUAUCUUUUCACAUGGACAAACACGUAAAGCACAAAGAGAAUAUAAAGAACUAAGAGAAAUUAUGCCCACGACUAAAGGAAACUCAUGCACACACUUCUACAUUCAUAAACAAUAUGGUUCUUCGAUAUUUUUGUACAUUGGCAUAAAUAUGGAUGUUCCAUUAGCUUCUUUCUUUUACUUCUAUCAUUUGUCCGCUUGAAUUCUUCUACUAUCUUCAAUAUUCUUCUACAUUCUGCUCUUUCUCCAAUUGUCAAAAAAUUUCCACAUAUGUGUUCUUCUGAUCAAUGUCUGAAUAGUGUCUUCUUGUUUCUAUUAGGAUAUUUAUAGUCUCCAUGUGUUCAAAACUGCAAUUUAUGUUAUGUUCAUUAUUGUUUUUACAUAUUAUAAAUAGGUCAAUUUGUCUUCAAAUAUUUUUUACAGCCAACUUUUUUUAUUGGAAAAUUUAAUUCGAAUGUUCAGAUGAUUUAACAGAUAUGCUAAUACUUUUCUUAAAUUCUUUUAGUUCCUGUUGUUCACCUCGAGCUCCAACCAUUCGAUAAGUUAUUGUUCUCAUGGACAUUUUGAAAACUUGUGCUAAUAAAGAGACUGGUUCUCUUAACUUUGAAACAAUUUUUCAUCGCCAACAACGAAAUCAAAGGCAAAGGGAUCGGCAAAAUAAACUUUGAAUUGGCUGCAAUGAUCUUCGCAAGAGGAUAACUAAUACUCCGUCAUCUAGAAAUAAUGAUACCAGUGUUGCAUUAGUGCAACAUUCUAUAAUACAUCAUGAUGAUGAGGCUUCUACUUCAAACCAAGAAAUGCCUAAUAUUUCCAAUUCUAGAUUACAAGAUAGUUUGACUCUACUAACAUACCAAUGAGUGCAUAUAUAUUACCAACUUGCAUCUACUGUAAAUAUUGUGGUGCAUGAAAAGUUUACAAAGAAAGUAAAGGCUUCUGCUACUCCGAUGGAAAAGUUCAACUUUUUAUGCUUGAUUCACCAACUGAAUUAUACAACUUAUUUACUUCCAAAGAACUUAACUCUAUGGAAUUCAAAAAAAUCGCAAGAGGAUAUAAUAACCAUUUUACUUUCACUUCAUUUAGUGUAAAGUACGACAAAGACCAUUUUAAAGCAUACAAAGGUAUUUAUACAUUUAGGGUUCAAGGGCAAGUAUAUUAUUAUGUCAAUGAACUUAUGCCAUAGAACAAUACGCCUUCUUAUAUCCAAUUAUACUUUUAUGACAUAGCUAAUGAACUUCAAAAUCGUAUGAGAAUUUCAGAAAACUUUGUUGAAUCUACUUUGAUUGUAUUAAUUGAAAUCCUGAAAGUAAAUUCAUAUAGUAGAUUCUUUAAGUAUUUAAGGGAUAUGUCUAACUUGUACAAUCAUCGUAUACACAUAAGAUGCGAUCCUGGACUUGAUCAAAGAGUCUUCAACACUCCUAUAGUAUCUCAAAUAGCUGUUGUAUGGGUCGAAAAUGACGAAAAUGCCAAUGUUCAUGUUCGUGACAUUGCCAUAUAUGGUCAUUCUGGUGAUUCGCAUGUUCAUUAUUAUUAUGGUUGUUAUGAUCCUUUACAGUAGCCUUUACUUUUUUCAUAUAGGGAGUCUAGUUGGCAUGAAGGCAUUUGGAAAUGUAGAAGCAUGUACUUUGAGCUUGAAUUCAUUGAAUUUCCAAGAACAGUUACCUCUGCAGCUAAAUUUAUUGAAAAAGAAAAUCAAAUGCUUAACGGAACAAAGAAACGGUCUCACAUUUCCUGUCGAGAAUAUUAUUCAUAAAAAUUGCAAAUUAGGCCUUUCGUAUUAACUGGUUGAACUUGCUCUUUAGUAUGAGAUGUACUAGUGGCAUUGAAAUUGGCUCCUACGAUAGAGACAGUAUAAAGAAAAAGGUGAAAUCACUCAUUCCAUGUAGUUUAAAUUCGUAAAUGUCAUCGAUGUAUUAUAGACUCCCAUGCUUUGUUCUCAGAUAUGUAAGUUCAAAAUUAACAUGAUGCCUAAACUAUUAGUAAAAUUUCAUGUAUAUUUGAGCAUAUUGUUCUCUUAUGUGAUUCAUACAAGCAAAAGAAAGGGUCAGUGAAGAAAAAAUGGUCACGUAGAAAAUACUAAGGCUCCAAUAGCAAAUUCAACACACAUGGUCCGAUGAUUUUUAAUAAUAUGUCACGGAUCUAGAUUUCAUGCCUAGACAUUCAAUAUGAAUUACUAACUAGAGAAGCGUACAACUUCUUUCAUUGAAAAAUUUACAGACAUGAUUAAUAACACAUAAGAAACACUGUGUAGAUUGUUUUGAUAUUUCUCAAAGAUGAAUGUAGAAUGAAUUUCACACCCACUUUCAUUUUUGAACUUAAAAAUUGUUUGACUUAUUAAUUGACUUAUUUUUUUGGUUUGUUGAGCUUGAACAAAACAUGACUUUACAUGAUGAUUUGUUGUAUGAUAUGUUUCUUGUUAAUUCAUUUGCUUCUAGAUUAUUUUUUGGGUUGUGUACUUGCAUACUCAUUUAUAUUAUUCCUGAAAUUUGUAUUUAUUCAUCAAAAGAGAUUACAAAAUCAAAUGAUAAAUUGUUGUCUUUGUAGUUUUUGAAGGGGAUUGUUGUUUUAUUUUUAGAUAUGGUUAUAGUUGGAAAUCCAAUUGGUUCUUUUUUAUUUCUUUUGAAUUUAUGAGUUUGUUCUUGAUGAUUUCCUGUGGUGAUAAAUCUUUCAUGGUUUAUUUCACUUAUCUAUCGUUCUUGAUUAUGUUUGUAAAUAUAUAAAUUUUUCAAACUUGAUUCUUCAUAUCUUCUAGUUCAAUGAGUAAUCUACAGAAUUGGCUCGUGUUUCGAUGGCAAUUAUUAAAGCUUCAAUUUGAAUGAGCUUACUUCUAUUCACAUAAUUUUAGUGAGUUCAUGAAGUUAUAUAUCUGUGUAAUUGAUCUUAUAGUACUUUUAUUCAAAUUUAUCACAGUAAGUUCACGAAACUAUAUAUCUAUCUAUUUCUUCUCCAAGGUUCACGCGAAAAAGAUAACUUGAAUGUGGGAAAGGAACUUCAGGAUGAGUUAGAUGUGCUUAUUGAAUGUAGGGAUAUCUAGAAAUUAUUUGGAGAAAAGCAUGUUAUAAGAGAUGUGAACUUCAAGGCGAAAUUUAUUUGCUUUUGGUUGUUCAGUUGUUUGUAAGAAGCAUGAGCUUCAAAGUGAUAUUUUUUUUUCUUUUGAUUGUUCAAUUUUUUGAAUGUUUCAACCAUGUUUAUUAUGAAUUCAGGUCAAAACCACAAGUUAAUGGUUGUUGCCUAGCUUUACAGGUGACAUGGAAAUAGAGGUUCUAAUCUAUAGCUGUAAAUUUGUAAUGAAGAAUAGUUUUUGCUUCAUGAACUAUAUAACACCUAUUAUAUACAAAUAAACGAGCAAGUAUCAAGCAUGGUUUUAUAUAUUUGUAGGUUUAUUUGUAUAUAAUAAAACUCUUCCUCUUACCAUGACCUUUAUCUUCCCAAGCAUUUUUCUCUACUAAUGAACAAGCUCAAGCUUCAAGAAAAUCCUUUCUAAGAGUAACGAAUAAAGCUGUUGAAAUUGUUGUAAAUCCAUUCUUUACAACUUUUCAUUUCCAUACUUUCUUCAUCUGUCAUAUCUUUAUUUUUCUAAUUCAGACAUUAAUUUCUGUCAUUUUAUUUAGGCAAAAAUCAUUUCCAAGAGUGACAAAUAAAACUAUUGAAAUGGUUGGAAUUCUCUUCUUUACGACUUUCCAUUUCCAUACUUUCUUUGUCUCUCAUAUCUUUUUUUUUCUAAUUCUAACAUUAAUUUUUAUCAUCAUAUUUAUGUCUUUGCCUUCAGAGGUUCCAACCAUAGUAUGCUAUUAAUUUUUAUCUUUCUAUUUUUUGGUACAAUUUUAAGCAGUGUUUUUAUUCAUGUUUUGGGCAGCUCUACACCCAUAUGUGCUACUCAAACUUCAAUGACGUUAUCCGCUCUAUCAUAAACAUAUAUACAAAUGUAGUCACUAUUGAGAAUUCAAAAUCAGACAAGAAGAUUUGUUCAAUUUUUUGUGAGAUAGUGAGGCAUUGGCCUCGAUUGGUCUUGUAGGGUGUGAUAAUGGAUGGGUUAUGCAAAAAUAUCACAACUGCAAUACUAAUGGAGUACUCUCUACUCUACCUCUUAUUCAUCCUCUACCUUUUGAUUAUAGCUUGCAACGGCACUUAUUGCUCUGGUACUUGAUUUGUGACGCAAUUCGGAGCUUAUAACUGAUGCAAUUAUAAGUAAUUUGCAAUUCAAGGUCUCACGAGGAGUGAAAGACAUUAUUCUAUUUUAAUGGAACCUUUGACAGUAUUGCUUUUCUUUGACCUUGCUACACAUGGUUGGAUAGUAACAUUGGAAUAAUAUGAUCACCUCGUAAACUGGGGAUUCAAGCAGUUGGAUCUUUUGUUGUUGCAAAAUAUUUCAUUUGAGCAGGAAAAGGCUGAUAUUGAGAAUGCAGAUAGUGCCAAGCCUUUGAAGUUAAGUGGCGGUGGUAAAGAGUACCCCAGGCGCAAGAUAUUAGUCAAGAAAUGAGUAUUCCCUUUUAUUACAUUGUGUCAUUUGAAAUUUAGCUGAAUGUUGUGUAAGAUAGUUAUUUUCUACACAAACAUAUAUAUAAAUAUAUGAUCUUGACCAGUGUAUUGGUCUUUUUUUUUCUUACCAUUUACCAAUAAAAUUCACCAGCUCA
Olea europaea var. sylvestris is the source of this 6855-nucleotide long non-coding RNA. RefSeq lists it as uncharacterized. Lineage: Eukaryota; Viridiplantae; Streptophyta; Magnoliopsida; Lamiales; Oleaceae. The transcript is spliced from 7 exons. The record is from RefSeq and is a predicted model, not a curated record.